GCCCAGACCAUCGGAGAGGAAAGAUGUAAGCUGCCCCGCUGGAAAAGAUGUGGUCUCACUGUGAAGCUCAAGCUGGUUUUGAACCUGUAGCAACCCUCCAGCCUCAACCUCCCAAAGGCUAGCAUUUUUUAGGAGUGAACACCAUGCCCUGUUUAAGAAGUCCCAGGUCUUGCUAAUCGCGUCCACGGGUCUUCAGUUUUGAGUAACUAUGAGGAUGGGAUUCAGAGCCUUCAGAUACCACAGCGUGACAGGCUUGUGAGCUCAGCAUUUCUCCUGCCCAUGUGACCGCCUCUCAUACUUACAAGUCUCCCGCUCUAUCACAAGGAUCCCCUUCACUUCCUCACUUCACUGAAGACCCACAUUGGACCUGGACCAGAAAGGAAGUGUGACUAAUAGGUCCAAACAUGCCAUCUAGAUGAUAUUACCAAAUAAGAUAUAGGGAGAAACACCAAGACAGAAAAGAGAGUUAGAAACUCGGAUGGGAUGAGUAACUGGGACUAGGGUCAUGGCUGAGGAAUAGAGAUCUUGCCUAAGAUGAGCAAGGACUUGGCUCCCAUUCCCAGCAUCACAGAAACAAGAGAUUAAAAAUAAUAAUAAUAAAAUUAUUUUU
Non-coding RNA from Myodes glareolus (Bank vole), 610 nucleotides. Lineage: Eukaryota; Metazoa; Chordata; Mammalia; Rodentia; Cricetidae. The record is from RefSeq and is a predicted model, not a curated record.